RNAcentral lists this transfer RNA (68 nucleotides) under Osteocephalus taurinus (Manaus slender-legged treefrog). RNAcentral's name for it is "tRNA-Glu". It matches the Rfam family "tRNA". From Rfam's summary of the family: Transfer RNA (tRNA) molecules are approximately 80 nucleotides in length. Their secondary structure includes four short double-helical elements and three loops (D, anti-codon, and T loops). The record is from RNAcentral. Lineage: Eukaryota; Metazoa; Chordata; Amphibia; Anura; Hylidae.
GUUCUUAUAGUUGAAUACAACAGCAGUUUUUCAGAUUGCAAGUCUAGGUUAGAGUCCUUGUAGGAAUU